RNAcentral lists this long non-coding RNA (828 nucleotides) under Setaria viridis. RNAcentral's name for it is "long non-coding RNA (SVIR_LNC003237)". Lineage: Eukaryota; Viridiplantae; Streptophyta; Magnoliopsida; Poales; Poaceae. The record is from RNAcentral.
CUGCCCUGACGGCAGAGCCCAAUGACUGCUGGCGUCACCCCCGGAGUCCUGCACCACCGCCCUCUUCGCUCAAUCGCCGCCCUGGCAGAGCACUCCAUUGCUUCUCCCCGGCCUUCGCGCCGCUCCCCUUCUCUCUCUCCCGCACCGCUUCCUUCUCAGUUCCAGCGGCUAUAAAAGGAAUGCGCCAGCCGCCGGAGUUCCCUCCGCCAUUGUUUCCUUAGCCAUUCUCUCGCUCCCUGCUCAAGCUCCUAGCGCCACCCACCAAGUUCUUGAGGAGCUCUGCUCUCAGAUUCUCUCUCAGUUUUCUCCAAGUCACCCAGCCGCUUGCUCCUCCUUGCUGCGUAAAAGCUCUCUUGUGAUCUGCAAGAAGCACCGCCGCCGCCGUAGCAUUCCCAGUCUUAGCCGUUGUUCAAGCUUUAGUUUCCCCGCCCAAGUCUGCUUCUUCCCGACCCCAAGCUUUCCUUUCAGGAAGAAGGUGAGUUGCCGACCCCAGUCCGCUUCGCCCGACCCCUCCUAUCUGCCCGACCCCGAUUCCGUCUCGCCCGACCCUGUCUGUUCCGCCGACCCUUAUCCGCCUCGCCCGAGGGUUCGGCUGUGAUCUUUUUCUUCAACCCGAGGGUGUAUGUGUAAAACUUAGGAACCCUCCAGCGCUUGCGUACGAGGACCCCUAGUACAUCACAUUCUCUAGUUCAAGGAUCAGAUCAUAAGUUCCUUUCCGACCCUUGCCUCUUGAUCAUCACCAGCUCUCUUGAACCUCCAUACCCUCCUGCUCUUUGUCGCGAGUUUCUGGGCUCAGGCGAGCUAGUGUUGCUGUUGAAAUAACCGUCU